CCCAGCAGUGAAAGUGCACACUGCCUGUGCCCUGGUCAUUGAUAGUGCAGGGAGAGGAAUCGCCGAAAGCCUUUCCCCGUGUUUGGAGGGUCCAAAAA
This 98-nucleotide small nucleolar RNA is filed under the name Bos mutus (wild yak). RNAcentral's name for it is "Small nucleolar RNA SNORA71 (ENSBMUG00000018180.1)". The record is from RNAcentral. Lineage: Eukaryota; Metazoa; Chordata; Mammalia; Artiodactyla; Bovidae.